This 378-nucleotide ribosomal RNA is filed under the name uncultured bacterium. RNAcentral's name for it is "bacterial SSU rRNA". It matches the Rfam family "Bacterial small subunit ribosomal RNA", at positions 523 to 898 of the family's 1533-position model. The record is from RNAcentral.
AUACGGAGGGUGCAAGCGUUGUCCGGAAUUAUUGGGUGUAAAGGGUGUGCAGGCGGGGCGGUAAGUCAGGGGUGAAAGUCUACGGCUCAGCCGUAGGAUGGCCUUUGAUACUGUCGUCCUUGAGUCCCGGAGAGGCCAUUAGAAUUCGUGGUGUAGCGGUGAAAUGCGUAGAUAUCACGAGGAAUACCGGAAGCGUAGGCGGAUGGCUGGACGACGACUGACGCUCAGGCACGAAAGCGUGGGGAGCGAACAGGAUUAGAUACCCUGGUAGUCCACGCUGUAAACGAUGGAUGCUCGGUGUUCGACUCCGUUAGCGGGUUGAGUGCCCAAGUUAACGCGAUAAGCAUCCCACCUGGGGAGUACGCUCGCAAGAGUGAA